This 428-nucleotide ribosomal RNA is filed under the name uncultured bacterium. RNAcentral describes it as "partial 16S ribosomal RNA". It matches the Rfam family "Bacterial small subunit ribosomal RNA", at positions 338 to 795 of the family's 1533-position model. The record is from RNAcentral.
CCUACGGGGGGCAGCAGUGGGGAAUCUUGCGCAAUGGACGAAAGUCUGACGCAGCGACGCCGCGUGAGUGAUGAAGGCCUUCGGUUGUAAAGCUCUGUGGAAAGAGUCUCGGUACCUCCUUAGCAAGCACCGGCUAACUCUGUGCCAGCAGCCGCGGUAAGACAGAGGGUGCAAACGUUGUUCGGAAUUACGGGCGUAAAGCGUGUGUAGGCGGUGAGGUAAGUCGGAUGUGAAAGCCCAGGGCUCAACCCUGGAAGUGCACUCGAUACUGCUUCGCUUGAGUACUGGAGAGGUCGGUGGAAUUCUCGGUGUAGAGGUGAAAUUCGUAGAUAUCGAGAGGAACAUCUGUGGCGAAGCGGCCGACUGGCAAUACUGACGCUGAGACACGAAAGUGUGGGGAGCAAACAGGAUUAGAUACCCUUGUAGUC